RNAcentral lists this non-coding RNA (22 nucleotides) under Bombyx mori (domestic silkworm). Lineage: Eukaryota; Metazoa; Arthropoda; Insecta; Lepidoptera; Bombycidae. RNAcentral also lists the same sequence under 3 other names. The record is from RNAcentral.
CAGCAGGACGGUGGCCAUGGAA